GUGGCCACUCCUUCCCUCUCUCUCUCUCUCUCUCUCCGCCGUCAUCAGCCACCAGGACAGCUGUGGACACGUGCACCGAUACAUCGGCCUCAUGCACUCUUCGGCCCUUAUACCUGCCGUAGUGCACCAUGGGCCGUGGGUCGACAAGUGUACAGGGUGACUGGUGAGGUGAGGUGAGGGUGCCAAGAUGCCACUGUACAGGAGUCUGGUGGAAUUACUGCUACUACUGUGUCCUGGCAAGAUGGAUACAAGAUUCCCAUGCCGGCUAUGACUUGCUGGGAUAUUGACGGUUGUGUCAUUGUAACAUGUCCACAACACCUCCUGGGACCAAGAGAUGAUGUUGCUGCUGCUGCUGUCACAUCAUGUUGUACACUUGUGAGGUGUUAGUGAGGGUGGUGGCAGUGGUGCAGGUGUCUCCACGCUGCCUGCCUGCUUGGUGGAGUGGUGCAGUGUGGUGCAGAAGUAUGGAGAGAGCCCUUAUAUCCUGAGCUCUUUCACACCUACAUAGCUGCUGGAAAGUAUUGGCUGGGUGGCAGGAGAGUAGCAGUGAUCUCAUUGAGUAGUUCUAUGAAGGCUUUCAUUGCUGUACAACUCAUUUUUUGGGUCCCAGACGUGCUGUUUUUCCCUCACAAGCUCCAACAUUUUCUUUGCCCCUGGGUACUACAUGUUGAAGCCUUCUGCCAUGACAUCACAGUGUAAACAAAACUGCUAACAACUGGACAACAUGUAGGUCUUGUUUUGCUGGAAGCAGCUUCACCUAUUAGGCACCAAAGUCCACCGAAUCCCUUUAGUGGGUAGCAUUGCCAUCCACCCAUUUGACACUUGUGAACCUGCCUUAAGAGUGUUUUGUGGGCCGUUGUGUGUUUAGAGGCAAGCUUUAGUGGUGUAUGGGUGUGUGGCAGUGGUUCCUUCCUGGCAUUGCAAUGUAUGGGGAGGGUGGGAUGAUGUCCGCUCACUAAAGGCCUGCCCACACUCAAACUUUUUUGCUGAUGAAUAACCUGACUGCUUUACCAGAACUUCCAUCACAGGUGAUUGAGAAGUGUGGGGGGAAUCUCCUGCUUGUACCCUGAGUUUGGAUGCUCACCACCAAUUUCUGACACAGCACUGGUUAUUCCCUGAGGAAAAAGUCUAGUGUGGACAGGCCUUAGCCCCUUCCUUAUUGCAGCCACCCCCCGAUAUAAACAAAGCGUUCCCCUCCUAUACCAUAACCCCCUGCUCGUGCGCGCACGUGCCUCACGCCCAGAUCUACACAUUAUAUUUCUUUCUAACUCAGUGUUAUGUACUUUUUUCUAAACAUAUUUUUGUCAUUUUACUAAUAAAAGAAAACGUAAACAUAAUCAUAAAUUGUGCUUUGCAUACAAAUAUACUGAAAUACCUAAAUUACAGAAUGGUUAUCUGUAGUUGAAAAUGAUUGUAUGUAGAGAAUAAUGCCAGUUUUACUUACCCUACAAAUCAUGAUGUGCUACUCUCUUAGCAGUGGUAAGCCUGGAAAUGUUCAUUCAAACAUAAUAAAGGUUGUUCCUGGCAAGCAGGACAGUACUUUCGAGCCCA
This 1551-nucleotide unclassified non-coding RNA is filed under the name Portunus trituberculatus (swimming crab). RNAcentral describes it as "uncharacterized LOC123517139, transcript variant X3". Lineage: Eukaryota; Metazoa; Arthropoda; Malacostraca; Decapoda; Portunidae. The record is from RNAcentral.